This 352-nucleotide ribosomal RNA is filed under the name Ixodes scapularis (black-legged tick). RNAcentral's name for it is "partial 16S ribosomal RNA". Lineage: Eukaryota; Metazoa; Arthropoda; Arachnida; Ixodida; Ixodidae. The record is from RNAcentral.
GGUAUUGAAAUAAGAUUUUAAAUGAGUGCUAAGAGAAUGAUUAAACAAUUAAAAGCUUUCUUUAAUUAAAAAAUUAAAUUUAAUUUUUUUAGUGCAAAAGCAAAAAUAAAAUUUAGGGACAAGAAGACCCUAUGAAUUUUUAUUGUUAAUAAUUAAAAUUUAAGUUAUUAAUAAUUUAAUUGGGGCGAUAAAAAAAGAAUAAGUAUCUUUUUAGUUAUAAAAUAAGUUCCGUUUUUAGCGAUUAAAUGAAAUAAAUACUCUAGGGAUAACAGCGUAAUAAUUUUGGAUAGUUCAUAUAAAUAAAAUAGUUUGCGACCUCGAUGUUGGAUUAGGAUUCUUUUUUGGUGAAGAA